UACAGAGGUCUCAAGCGUUGUUCGGAUUCAUUGGGCGUAAAGGGUGCGUAGGCGGCGCGGUAAGUCGGGUGUGAAAUCUCGGAGCUUAACUCCGAAACUGCAUUCGAUACUGCCGUGCUUGAGGACUGGAGAGGAGACUGGAAUUUACGGUGUAGCGGUGAAAUGCGUAGAUAUCGUAAGGAAGACCAGUGGCGAAGGCGGGUCUCUGGACAGCUCCUGACGCUGAGGCACGAAGGUCAGGGGAGCAAACGGG
This 253-nucleotide ribosomal RNA is filed under the name uncultured bacterium. RNAcentral's name for it is "partial 16S ribosomal RNA". It matches the Rfam family "Bacterial small subunit ribosomal RNA", at positions 524 to 776 of the family's 1533-position model. The record is from RNAcentral.